UGUUUUCUAGCUCGUACCGUUUUUCGAAAAUCUAUUUUUGAUGAACGUCGUCUUUUUAUCGUAUUGCCGCAUAAUUUAACGUUGAUGUGUUUUCGACAGCUAAUCGUUGCCUCGAUUUUUCAAAUUCGGCUGGAAUAAGAUCCGUCCGAGUGCAGUAGUGUCGAAACUUGCAGCGGUAGCUUCAUGGCUCGGUUUACGGAAAUUGCUUCACAUUCGACCGUUUGUACUUAACGUUCGUACUUAACGUAGGAACCAGCAACGUUCGAGCGUUUUCGCCGCGAAAGAGAUCGCCUUCAAAUUGAACGAGGAAUUAUGUCGAAUACGGCAAAAGUGCGUGUGUCCUUGAAGAUAUAUCGAUACAAUCUAUAGCUACAAAAAAUCUACUAUCAAUAGCUACUAAGGAAAAAAAAUUGAAAAUUUAUUGUAGAUAUAAAAGUUAUUUUACUAAAAUAAAUUUCAUUUCACAGAAAUAAACUUUAUAAAGUUUAUAAAAGGUUUUUCUCUUAACGUAUGAAGCCGCGGUCGUUCUAGUUCACCAAUAAUCGAUCAUGAUCGCCUAAUUAUCCCACUAGACGACGGUACGACCAUUAUCCGGCUAUUAUGGAUUGUCGCAGUUCGUAGUGAGAUGAUCAUGACGUUAAGUUACAAGGAUCUAUAUCAGCGCGAAUGGGAAUCUUGCGCAGAGGCGCAGAGACGUUUAAAUUCUUGAAAAUGCUAAUAAGCAGAAAGAUUGAAGGUAUGGCUGGUCUAAAGGUAUGGUCGGCGGCACCGUUAGAUGAAGGCGUUGUUCCAUUCCUCUUUAGUCGAACUGAUCACUCGAGAAUAUCCAUACGUACCGUACGUUAAACGGUGACAGUGAUUUCACAGUGAUUUUGCAGUGUCACGUAACAAAUCAUAAAACAUCCGCGAGAUAUUGGAAACAACUUAUCAAGAUCAACGAGGUUACAGCUUAUAUAAUAAUAAGAAAAUAUAGAAAGUAGGGGCUAAAUAAUUGCGUGAUACAGAACAUGACGUAUCAAUUACGAAACCAGUUAAGGACAUCGUAAUUUUAUAUGAGAUGGUUAUAAGAUUGUUGAGCAAAUUAUUAUGUUGAUUGAGGCAAGUACUUCUCCAUAAAAUACGCA
Odontomachus brunneus is the source of this 1124-nucleotide long non-coding RNA. RefSeq lists it as uncharacterized. The transcript has 3 exons. NCBI's taxonomy places the organism in Eukaryota, Metazoa, Arthropoda, Insecta, Hymenoptera, Formicidae. The record is from RefSeq and is a predicted model, not a curated record.